AGCCCUUCGGGGUGUAAACCACUGUCAGGGGUAAGAAAGUUCUGAUCUACCCCAGAGGAAGGCACGGCUAACUCUGUGCCAGCAGCCGCGGUAAGACAGAGGUGCCGAGCGUUAGGCGGAAUCACUGGGCUUAAAGCGUGUGUAGGCGGACUUGUAAGUACCUUGUGAAAUCCCACAGCUUAACUGUGGAACUGCUUGGUAUACUGCUUGUCUUGGGCCACUUAGGGGUUACCGGAACAAACGGUGGAGCGGUGAAAUGCGUAGAUAUCGUUUGGAACGCCAAUGGUGAAAACAGGUAACUGGGAGUGUGCCGACGCUGAGACACGAAAGCCAGGGGAGCGAACGGGAUUAGAUACCCCGGUAGUCCUGGCUGUAAACGAUGUCGACUAGAUUGUGGCGGCUCUGACGCCGUCACGGUCGAAGCAAAAGUGCUAAGUCGACCGCCUGGGAAGUACGGUCGCAAGGCUAAAACUCAAAGGAAUUGACGGGGGCUCACACAAGCGGUGGAGCAUGUGGUUCAAUUCGAAGCAACGCGCAGAACCUUACCUGGGCUUGACAUGCCAGGAUUAUCCCUGUGAAAGCAGGGUAGGCCCUUCGGGGUACAACUGGUACAGGUGCUGCAUGGCUGUCGUCAGCUCGUGUCGUGAGAUGUCGGGUUAAGUCCCUUAACGAGCGAAACCUUUGCCCUUAGUUACUAACGGGU
Molecule: ribosomal RNA, 703 nt
Filed under: uncultured Geobacter sp.
Lineage: Bacteria; Pseudomonadati; Thermodesulfobacteriota; Desulfuromonadia; Geobacterales; Geobacteraceae
Description: bacterial SSU rRNA
Rfam family: Bacterial small subunit ribosomal RNA
Source: RNAcentral